CCUACGGGAGGCUGCAGUAGGGAAUCUUCCGCAAUGGACGAAAGUCUGACGGAGCAACGCCGCGUGAGUGAAGAAGGUUUUCGGAUCGUAAACCUCUGUUGUAAGGGAAGAACAAGUACGUUAGUAACUGAACGUACCUUGACGGUACCUUACCAGAAAGCCACGGCUAACUACGUGCCAGCAGCCGCGGUAAUCCGUAGGUGGCAAGCGUGAUCCGGAAUUAUUGGGCGUAAGGCGUGCGUAGGCCGUCUUGAUAGUCUAUGUGGGAAGCCCGCGGCUCAACCGGAGAGGGUCGUUGGAAAGUGGGAGACUUGAGUGCAGAAGAGGAGAGUGGAAUUCCAUGUGUAGCGGUGUAAUGCGCAGAGGUAUGGAGGAACACCAGUGGCGAAGGCGGCUCUCUGGUCUGUAACUGACGCUGAGGUGCGAAAGCGUGGGGAUCAAACAGGAUUAGAUACCCUAGUAGUC
This 465-nucleotide ribosomal RNA is filed under the name uncultured Macrococcus sp. RNAcentral describes it as "bacterial SSU rRNA". It matches the Rfam family "Bacterial small subunit ribosomal RNA", at positions 338 to 795 of the family's 1533-position model. Lineage: Bacteria; Bacillati; Bacillota; Bacilli; Caryophanales; Staphylococcaceae. The record is from RNAcentral.